This is a regulatory RNA element of Devosia sp. Root413D1, 54 nucleotides long. It matches the Rfam family "COG3860 RNA". Lineage: Bacteria; Pseudomonadati; Pseudomonadota; Alphaproteobacteria; Hyphomicrobiales; Devosiaceae. The record is from Rfam.
GGGUCCGCAGUUCACCCAGGCGUCGCCGCCCCAUCCGGGGAGCUAAACCUGCCU